UACGAAGGGGGCUAGCGUUGUUCGGAAUCACUGGGCGUAAAGCGCACGUAGGCGGAUGUGCCAGUCAGGGGUGAAAUCCCGGAGCUCAACUUCGGAACUGCCUCUGAUACAGCACGUCUUGAGUCCGGAAGAGGUGGGUGGAAUUCCGAGUGUAGAGGUGAAAUUCGUAGAUAUUCGGAAGAACACCAGUGGCGAAGGCGACUCACUGGACAUGUAUUGACGCUGAGGUGCGAAAGCGUGGGGAGCAAACAGG
This 253-nucleotide ribosomal RNA is filed under the name uncultured bacterium. RNAcentral's name for it is "partial 16S ribosomal RNA". It matches the Rfam family "Bacterial small subunit ribosomal RNA", at positions 524 to 776 of the family's 1533-position model. The record is from RNAcentral.